RNAcentral lists this ribosomal RNA (443 nucleotides) under uncultured bacterium. RNAcentral's name for it is "partial 16S ribosomal RNA". It matches the Rfam family "Bacterial small subunit ribosomal RNA", at positions 338 to 795 of the family's 1533-position model. The record is from RNAcentral.
CCUACGGGAGGCAGCAGUGGGGGAUAUUGGACAAUGGGGGGAACCCUGAUCCAGCGACGCCGCGUGAGUGAAGAAGUAUUUCGGUAUGUACAGCUCUGUCAGCAGGGAAGAAAGAAAUGACGGUACCUGACCAAGAAGCCACGGCUAACUACGUGCCAGCCGCCGCGGUAAUACGUAGGGGGCAAGCGUUAUCCGGAAUUACUGGGUGAACAGGGAGCUUAGACGGUUAAGUAAGUCGGGAUGGAAAGGCCGGGGCCCAACUCUGGGACUGUGCUGGAAACUAUUCAGCUUGAGUGCAGGAGAGGUAAGCGGAAUUCCUAGUGUAGCGGUGAAAGGCGUAGAUAUUAGGAGGAACACCAGUGGCGAAGGCGGCUGACUGGACUGGAACUGACGUUGAGGCUCGAAAGCGUAGGGAGCAAACAGGAUUAGAUACCCCAGUAGUC